Molecule: long non-coding RNA, 3461 nt
Filed under: Homo sapiens (human)
Lineage: Eukaryota; Metazoa; Chordata; Mammalia; Primates; Hominidae
Description: non-protein coding LINC00517:3
Source: RNAcentral
AAAGCGCCCGCCAGGACAGGCUCCUGGUGGGUUGUAAGGAGAACGGCAGGAAGAAGUGCUCCCAGGAAGCUGCCUAGCCACCGCCACCACCACAGGGUUCCAUCCAACUGACUUAUGGCAUCAGGAGCUUUGAAUUGUCUCAUCUCCAAGACUCUGAAGGUCCUUACAACACUAGCAAUCCCCUUCAUGCCUUAGGGGAUCUCUACAUGAUGUCCUGCUCAGAUGAUGGAAAGCCAGCCCCCUUCCUCUUGCAAACUGGCUUCUUGCACAGUCACCUGGCCUUAGACUAGAACCAUGGCUCUCAAAUUUCAGGGAAAGUAUGAUCAAGCAGUUCAUCAGGAAGCACAAAUGCCACAUGGACAGGGCAAUUCUUUUUCAAGAAGACCCACAGACUUCUCCUGCCUAGGCUCUGAAGAAGCCACAAAAAUCUGUCCUUCCACUAGGCUUUCAGGAGAGAUGAGCCGUCUCCAUUUCCAUCAGUCACUCAGCUCUUCCCCAACACCACAGACAACUGGCCGCCUUGGAGGCUCUUCCAAGUUUCCUGUAGCAGACUCUUUAGUUGUUAUAAUGUUCCAGAAACUGAAGUGGGAAUGGAAGCUAUCAAGUUUUCUGUACUCCAAAAAUUGUCUCCAGCACAUUCCCUGAGAAAGUGUUGCAUCCUUGCCCUGAACACCUUCCAACAGAAUGACUAAGGAAUACUCAAUGCUAGACCAUUCCAGCCUGUUCACCCACCAAGAGGUGGAACUUGUCUGAAGCUACAGGACCACAAUUGACCAUACCCUCCCCUCCUUCUUUGCUUUAUCUUUUUGGAACAUAUUCUGUUUAUUAUUAACAUUUUUAAACUAUGAGACUUAAAGAUAAUCUGUUCUAAGCCCCUAAUCUUGUACAUGACUAAAAAAAAUCACAAGGACAAAUAGAAUGCAUGCACACCAUCACUCUCCUAUCCUCUACCCACAGCAGAGAUCACUAAUCAAUUAAAGCAAUCUUUUCUACUGCACACAGGUGUGGCCUUAAAAUCCUUCUGGACAGAACGCUUCAGGCAGACUUUUCAUAUUUAAUCAUAAACAUAAAUGACAUCAAACAUUAAACCCAUUUGUCAAUCCAGUGUUAAAUGAUGCUAAAGUAGUUUGUGGUAAAACUGGGCCCAUGUCUCCUCUCUCUCAGCUUAUUGACCUUUCUGCUACAUCACAAUGUUGUACUUAUGUUGAAAUGUCACACUUUACAUCUUCUGCAAAUAUUCCCUCUAGGUUUAACUUUUCCAACAAAAUAUCUCAUCAUGUUUUUGUCUUUUCAUUUUUGUUCUUGAGUAAGUAAUACAUUUACUUGUUUCAAACUCAAAGCAAUGUAAAGGUAUACUCGGGGAAGUCAUGCUACCACCCAAGUCUCCAUCCACUUCAUUCCUCCACUUUUAUUAGUUUAUUGUUUAUCCUUCCAAGGUUUCUUUAUGCAAAUACAUGCAAAUCAAAUAUAUAUUCUCAUUUUCUGUGCUGGCCAUACACAAAAUGUAGCAUAUUAUAUAUACUUGUUGUACCUUUCUUUUUUUAACUUAACAAUAUAACCUAGAAAUGGAUUUUUCUCACUUUUUCGUAGGUUUAUAAUCAUACUACUUUUGACAUUUAGGUCAUUUGAAUAAGAUUCAAUCUAUAAGACCUGCCUUCUUAAACCCUGUUUUGGUCCUCUCUGAGAUUCGAUGCCACUAUUUGGCCAGUUAAAACUAAGCGGCCCUUUUUGCUUAAGUUUAAUUAUCCAUGAUCGAUCUUCUUCAAAAUGUAGGUGAAGUUUCUCUACUAUCCAGCACAUGAUAUGGCCAAUGUUUUUAUUAAGAAAAUAAAUUUUAUUAAAGCCACUACAUGAAAUAUUUCUUUUGAUGGACACUAAAAUAAUAAGCAUACAUAAAGUAUCAUAAUAGCUUAAUAAUAAUUCAGUAUUUUGGAGUUGCCAAGUAUAAAACUGGAGGCUUCAGAAUUAAUUUUAAGGAUUGAGCCCUGGUUAUUAGCAGACACAUGUCUGCUUUAAAACUUUGUCCUUUUCACUAUUAGAAAGCCAAAGGCUGCUUUGGCUCUUAGAGCCUUAGUAGAGCCUCAGAAUUGACCCAUUAGGCUAGUCUCUGAUUAAAUGGACCCCAAAGUGUUAGCCUGAACUCUUUUGUUAAUUGCCUUGAGUGAGUUUGCCUAAUCAAAGGAACGUGUGAAACCUCUGAUCUGUAUGGCAGCCUUAAGAUUUCUGAUCUUCAUUAUCUUCUAUAAAAGUACAUCACUUUUGUAUUUUUCAGUUCCUUUUCAAUCCCCUGAUAAGAAUGACCUGUUAAUAGAUAAACUUAGGCACAUUAAAAUUUUAACAAGUUUAUUUGAGCAUUCAGCAAUUCAUGAACCCAGCAGUCUCAGACUACAAGUGGUUCAGCACUCCACUGAGAGGGUGCAAGGGGAAAACUUGUAUAAGGUGUUUGUGGAAGCAAGACAAAGAAAAUAUCUGAUUGAUUUAGGCUGAAAAUCUCUAGUUACAGGUUGGUUAGCAAUUUCUGAUUGGUUAAACUAAAGUUUUAUUUUAGUAUUUAGGUUGAGUUAGGUUUUGGUUUGCUUACAAAGGCACUGGAGCCAUCUCAGCCUAGUGGACUUGAAAUCAAUUAUUAUAAUAGAUCCCCUACCUAAGAAAGCCAGCAUCCCUAAAGGAAAAUAAAUACUGAGGACUUUAUGCAAAGCAAAGAAAUGGAUGUAAAGACGUGGAUCCUCAUUGCCCUCACAAUACUUCUUUUCCUUGAAAAAAGGCUGAGAAUGGAUAAAGAUAAAUUUAGGCACAGUAAGGACAAAGAUAAAGAAUAGCAAGAACUUGUAGCUUGGAUUAUUGAUGCCAGAGAAGUGGAGACCCCAUGUGGAGAAUAUUUUUACCCGUUUCCCACCACUGCUUCCCGGACAGAGAUAAUCUGGGACCCCUGUGAGUAUAGCCCAGCUGGCAACCUUGCCAUAUUUCCAUCCUGCAAGGCUUCAUUCAGGACAGCGCAGGAACUUAUAGGUCAGUCUAAACACUAAACAAGAACAUUAGCCUUAACAACACAAAUUAGUAAUUCAUUUCUUCCUUAUGUAGCUGAGCACUUAAUGAUCCAAAUCUUGGCGACUGAGUUGGGUAAUAGUUCAUUGCUGGAUGACCCAUCUUGACUUUCAAAGUUGCUAUUGUUUUUACAUUAUCCUCAAGUGUUAUCAUUAAGUUGUGAGCAAGACUAAUUUUCUUAAUCAUUCCCAAUCUCCCCAACCAUUUUUCACUGAAUAAUAUCAUCAACAGGCUGCACAAAUUGGACAUCUGAGAUUUAGUUGAAUUAGUAACACCUAAAAGAUCAUUUAUGGCUGCAGCAAUAAGCCUCCCAUUUCAUCUAAUUAGAGAGCAAGAUUAUUUCCCUAAAUCCCCACUAAUAUUUUGAGUUGACAAACAAUGAAGCAAUCCUGAUAAAGUGAAUAAAUGAGUUUCAU